AACGCAUAUUGCACUUUCUGGUAUUCCGGAAAGUAUGCCUGUUUGAGGGUCAGUUAAAUAAAAAUCGGUGUUGUUGCUACUUUUAGUGGUGAUGCAUCGGAAUUGAGUUGUCUUUACCUUUGGUUAAAGUGACUUAAAAUUAUGUACGAUUUUUGAACGUAUUUAAAUUGUUUACGUAUGUUCAUAAUAUCAUAUAUUAGGUGCGAUCAUUCUUAUGAUUUCGCGUCUAUAAUUUUUCAUUAUUUGACCUCAAAUCAGGUAAGAGUACCCGCUGAACUUAA
Molecule: unclassified non-coding RNA, 281 nt
Filed under: uncultured Glomeraceae
Lineage: Eukaryota; Fungi; Glomeromycota; Glomeromycetes; Glomerales; Glomeraceae
Description: sequence contains ITS2
Rfam family: 5.8S ribosomal RNA (bases 1-52)
Source: RNAcentral